Molecule: small RNA, 142 nt
Organism: Nitratireductor pacificus pht-3B
Lineage: Bacteria; Pseudomonadati; Pseudomonadota; Alphaproteobacteria; Hyphomicrobiales; Phyllobacteriaceae
Rfam family: Alphaproteobacterial sRNA BjrC1505
Source: Rfam
GUACCGGUUAACCACUCAUUAAGCUUUACGUGCGUUUACUGUGUUCAUCCAGUGAUCUGGAUUCUUACCGAGUGGCUGGAGCCAUUCUGUUUGACGCCUCCCUGUUUAAACUCCUGAGAGCCGCCCAUGCGGCUCUUUUUUU